UACGUAGGGUGCGAGCGUUAAUCGGAAUUACUGGGCGUAAAGCGUGCGCAGGCGGUUAUGUAAGACAGAUGUGAAAUGCCCGGGCUUAACCUGGGAACUGCAUUUGUGACUGCAUGGCUAGAGUUUGGCAGAGGGGGGUAGAAUUCCACGUGUAGCAGUGAAAUGCGUAGAUAUGUGGAGGAACACCGAUGGCGAAGGCAGCCCCCUGGGUCAAGACUGACGCUCAUGCACGAAAGCGUGGGGAGCGAACAGG
This 253-nucleotide ribosomal RNA is filed under the name uncultured bacterium. RNAcentral describes it as "partial 16S ribosomal RNA". It matches the Rfam family "Bacterial small subunit ribosomal RNA", at positions 524 to 776 of the family's 1533-position model. The record is from RNAcentral.